This is a long non-coding RNA of Rosa rugosa (rugosa rose), 767 nucleotides long. RefSeq lists it as uncharacterized. The transcript has 3 exons. The record is from RefSeq and is a predicted model, not a curated record. NCBI's taxonomy places the organism in Eukaryota, Viridiplantae, Streptophyta, Magnoliopsida, Rosales, Rosaceae.
GUAUUAUCCAUCCUAAUCUAGCCUCUAUUCCUUCGAUCUAUACAUCCUUCUUAUCAAAUCCGAGUUUUUGAUCUUGAUUUGUAAUUUUGUUUGCAUGAACCCAAUUUUCCCUAAACCAAGAGGCUAGGCUAUGGGUUUGGCAAGGAUUUGUGGUGAAGAAGGCCAUGGAGGAGGCUUAGGCCGUGAGUUUUGAAGAAGAAAGGGUUUUCCGAAGUAAGGAAAGAAAUAAGAGCAAAAGGAAGGAGAUAUGUGCAAUUGAUGGAGAAUUGUGGACUCUUGAUGAAUCAAGGAAGCUUAAGGCAAUAUGAAGGAAAAGAUAUUCAGCAAUUAAUUCUCUUGGCUGCUCCUAUUGGAUAGAAGGAUGUCAAUGAAUCCUAAAUCAAUCAGACCAUUAAUCAAGGAGUUAGAGUCCCAAAAGAAAAGAAGGAAAGAGUUACAAACUGAAAAAAUCUCUCCUUGGACGUUCAAGAAAAGACGAUCUCACAUACGAAAAAGCAUAGACGCACAAGAGCUUGAGAAGAAGAAGAACUACAACCUUGCCAGAAACGAUCGAUCGCUGCACGCCAGAGAUCGAUCGCUGAUCCGUAUUUUCCAAUUUUCUGAUUUUUGUUGUCUUCUUCCUCCAUGAACUCCUUUGUGUUUUUGAUUUCCAUUAUGUGUAACUAAAUUUCCAGUAGUUAGGGGGCAGUUGAAGCCCCUAGACAUGAUCCAUAACAUGCUUUGACAUUCAAUUUGUUUUCCAAUUAAUAAAGUUGAGGUUUUGUUUA